GGCGAGGUAGCUCAACCGGUUAGAGCGGCGGUCUCAUAAUCCGCAGGUCGGCGGUUCGAGUCCGCCCCUCGCCA
RNAcentral lists this transfer RNA (74 nucleotides) under Deltaproteobacteria bacterium. RNAcentral's name for it is "tRNA-Met". It matches the Rfam family "tRNA". From Rfam's summary of the family: Transfer RNA (tRNA) molecules are approximately 80 nucleotides in length. Their secondary structure includes four short double-helical elements and three loops (D, anti-codon, and T loops). Lineage: Bacteria; Pseudomonadati; Myxococcota; Myxococcia. The record is from RNAcentral.